GUAACGAAUAUUCCGCAAUGGGCGCAAGCCUGACGGAGCAAUGCCGCGUGCAGGAUGAAGCCCCUCGGGGUGUAAACUGCUGUCAGGGGUAAGCAAUACCAUGAGCUACCCCAGAGGAAGAGGCGACUAACUCUGUGCCAGCAGUCGCGGUAAUACAGAGGCCUCGAGCGUUAAUCGGAGUCACUGGGCUUAAAGGGUGCGUAGGCGGCGCCGCAAGUGCUUUGUGAAAUCCCACGGCUUAACCGUGGAACCGCUUGGCAGACUGCGGUGCUUGAGGUCGGUAGAGGCUGCCGGAACUGUAGGUGGAGCGGUGAAAUGCGUAGAUAUCUACAGGAACGCCCAAGGCGAAGGCAAGCAGCUGGGCCGAUUCUGACGCUGAGGCACGAAAGCGUGGGGAGCAAACGGGAUUAGAAACCCUGGUAGUCC
This 426-nucleotide ribosomal RNA is filed under the name uncultured bacterium. Its description in RNAcentral is "bacterial SSU rRNA". It matches the Rfam family "Bacterial small subunit ribosomal RNA", at positions 354 to 796 of the family's 1533-position model. The record is from RNAcentral.